UCCACAUGUAUAAAAGUGAUCUCUGUCAAACUCUGACACCCAACAUGAGUCUCUACCAUCACUGGACAACAAGAUGCCUUCAAAACCUUCAAGGUUAGUCAUUUCAGUAAAUGCCAGCAGUACUUCCUGUAAGCACAAUGUAAAUCUACCUUGUCUUGUUAUAUCUUCUGCUAAAAAACAUUUGUUUUCAUUCUAACCUUCAUAUUGUGGCUGUUCUUUGCAGGUUCAAGCGUCACUUCCCAUGUAAGCCAAGUCUUUCUGCCACUGCCCUGACCAGCAGAGUCCCAGAGAAAGUUUAAUCCUCGGAACAACUACACAGUCUGCCUCCUCUUGCUGCCUUUGUAAGGACUGUGAGGUGCCCACAAAUCGCACAUGCUCACACUAUAGUAUGUGAGCGUGUCAUGGUUGCCAUGGUUCCGCUCCACGUGCAUCAUUAGAUACAGAAUUCAAACAUAAACAAAACCUAGAACGAGCAAGAUCAAUUUUCAACAAAUCUUUACGCCAAG
Molecule: non-coding RNA, 506 nt
Organism: Xyrichtys novacula (pearly razorfish)
Lineage: Eukaryota; Metazoa; Chordata; Actinopteri; Labriformes; Labridae
Source: the annotation of a GenBank genome assembly